Molecule: small nuclear RNA, 103 nt
Filed under: Erinaceus europaeus (western European hedgehog)
Lineage: Eukaryota; Metazoa; Chordata; Mammalia; Eulipotyphla; Erinaceidae
Source: RNAcentral
GUGCUCACUUCAGUAGCACAUAUACUAAAACUGAAGCAAUAGAAGAUUAGCAUGGCCCCUGUGCAAGGAUGACAUGCAAAUUUGUGAAGUGUUCCAUAUUUUU